Non-coding RNA from Castor canadensis (American beaver), 2169 nucleotides. The record is from RefSeq and is a predicted model, not a curated record. Lineage: Eukaryota; Metazoa; Chordata; Mammalia; Rodentia; Castoridae.
GCGCUGGUCUGUAAGGACAGCGCAGCUGCAGCCGCAGCAGCACCAGAGGCAGUGUGCAAGGAGAGGAGGGGUCGGAGCACCGUGAGCACAGGUGUUUCUGAGGAGGAAUCAGAUAGCAGCGAAGGCUGCCAUACACCUCUGAGUUUUUACCUGUCAACACAGUAGCGUUAGAGACACUGAAAGCAAACAGGAAGACAGACCGAUCAGUCACACCAAGAGACACUAAAGUUAAAAGUUUUUUUUUUUUCUUUUUUUUUUCCUGUUUUGUUUUCCCCCCUGGUGUGUCACUUACUACCAUGGUCAGGAAGCCUGUCGUGGCCACCAUCUCCAAGGGAAGUUACCUCCAGGGAAAUGUGAGCAGGAGGCUGCCUUCCAUGGGCGGCAAGGAGCCACCUGGGCAGGAGAAGGUGGUACUGAAGAAGAAGAUCACUCUGCUGAGGGGGGUCUCCAUCAUCAUUGGUACCAUCAUCGGAGCAGGCAUCUUCAUCUCUCCUAAAGGUGUGCUGCAGAACACUGGCAGCGUGGGCAUGUCCCUGACUGUCUGGACCGUCUGUGGGGUCCUGUCACUAUUUGGAUUCUGACUCCAGUUUCUGAAUCACAUGUUUUGGGUUUAGAAGUUUGUGUGUACCAUUUCAAAGAAAAUGGCAUUUUUCAAGUAGAAUGAAUGAGCUCUCAAAUGUGAGGAAGUUAGAAGAGGAACUUGCUGGGUCGCAGUAACUAGAUGAUGACGGUUGUUUUGAAAUAGGAUAACGUUCAGACCUGAGGAAGUAGCUGCAUCCCAGGAGCCUUGUCCUAUGCUGAACUGGGAACAAGCAUAAAGAAAUCUGGUGGCCAUUACACAUACAUUCUGGAAGUCUUUGGCCCAUUGCUAGCGUUCGUACGAGUCUGGGUGGAAUUACUUAUAAUCCGCCCUGGAGCUACUGCAGUGAUAUCCCUGGCAUUUGGACGCUACAUUCUGGAACCAUUUUUUAUUCAAUGUGAAAUUCCUGAACUUGCAAUCAAGCUCAUAACUGCUGUGGGCAUAAGUGAGUAUUACAGGUAAAACAUGAAAGAGAAAACAACACAAAAAUGAUAGGAGACAAGGUUUCUUCAUACUCUGUAGAUGUCGGUACUCUUCCCCAAAUUGCAUUCUUUUUGCUUACAGUUCAAAAUUUGUGCUGGAAAAUAUAAACAAGAACCCAGAUUUGGACUGUUUUCUGCCUCUACAAUAUAUGGCAGUUUUUCAUUGACUUAAAAGACAUGAUGGCUAAUCUUUUAAAAUAGGCAAAAACUGUGUUGCUAGUAAAAAAUUAAGAUGAUUGCACACAAAGAGAGAGAAACUUGAGAUGAAAAUCCUGCUAGUCUGUGGACCUUUUUGAAUUGGAAAUUAUCCUACCUAAGUGAUAGAUUGAAUUACAACUCAAUUGUGGUCAUGGAAUUAUAUUUAAGUGUUGGACAGGCAUAUUGCAUUCAUACAAUUCGUAGUGUUAGUAGCUGUCACUCUCAGUGUUACAGUUUUCAUUAUCUGUUAUUGGCCAGGAUUACAAUUUUCUCCCCAGACUGGUCUAUUAGUAGCAUUUUUCUACUAGGAGAUUUCUUGAUGGUUUACAAAUUAGGAAGUUAUUUAUUUUUUAUCAAUGGGCCUAGAUUUUACAAUCAAAAAAAGAGGAAGUAAAAGAGUAAAAAGUACAAAAUAACAUAAUUGAUAUGAUGCCAGAUCUUACUGUAAUUUCCUAUAAAAUUCUAGAAUAUCAUGCACAAGGGUAACUAUUCUAGAUGAUAACUGGAUCAUUGUUUUAAGAACCAAUAUGGCCAUAUUUGGUUAAAUUUUGAUAACUAAGAAAUAGGAAAUUACCCAGGAAUAACUGAAUCACAAGCUAUGGAUUCAACAGACAGUAAGAACAAUGCACUUUUGAGGAUAGAGAGGCACUGUGGCUAGUUUUCAGAAAAGAGUUAGGAGUUACAUAUAAAAAUACCUCUUGUACGAGGAGCACUUAUUUCUGAACUUUGAUAGGUUUGUCCUAAAUUUCUUCCUCUCCAAACAUAUGGUCACAAUUAUUCUGUGAAAUCUAUGAAAAGACAAAGAAAUGACUCGAAGUAGACAUUUUGGAGUUCUGGAGAGGUAAAGCUGCAGACACUUAAAUCAUCGACAGACAGGGGCAAAUCACUUACCCACUCUAAAUCUCUGUG